AGCGACAUAGUGUAAAGGUUAGCACAUUAGUCUCAUGAACUGAUAGAAUAGGUUCAAUUCCUACUUUCGCUC
Molecule: transfer RNA, 72 nt
Filed under: Phlebia radiata
Lineage: Eukaryota; Fungi; Basidiomycota; Agaricomycetes; Polyporales; Meruliaceae
Description: tRNA-Met(AUG)
Rfam family: tRNA
About the family: Transfer RNA (tRNA) molecules are approximately 80 nucleotides in length.
Source: RNAcentral